Molecule: ribosomal RNA, 848 nt
Filed under: Klebsiella pneumoniae
Lineage: Bacteria; Pseudomonadati; Pseudomonadota; Gammaproteobacteria; Enterobacterales; Enterobacteriaceae
Also listed under: 1 other name
Description: partial 23S ribosomal RNA
Rfam family: Bacterial large subunit ribosomal RNA
Source: RNAcentral
GGGACACGUGGUAUCCUGUCUGAAUAUGGGGGGACCAUCCUCCAAGGCUAAAUACUCCUGACUGACCGAUAGUGAACCAGUACCGUGAGGGAAAGGCGAAAAGAACCCCGGCGAGGGGAGUGAAAAAGAACCUGAAACCGUGUACGUACAAGCAGUGGGAGCACCUUCGGGUGUGACUGCGUACCUUUUGUAUAAUGGGUCAGCGACUUAUAUUCUGUAGCAAGGUUAACCGUAUAGGGGAGCCGCAGGGAAACCGAGUCUUAACUGGGCGUUAAGUUGCAGGGUAUAGACCCGAAACCCGGUGAUCUAGCCAUGGGCAGGUUGAAGGUUGGGUAACACUAACUGGAGGACCGAACCGACUAAUGUUGAAAAAUUAGCGGAUGACUUGUGGCUGGGGGUGAAAGGCCAAUCAAACCGGGAGAUAGCUGGUUCUCCCCGAAAGCUAUUUAGGUAGCGCCUCGUGAAUUCAUCUUCGGGGGUAGAGCACUGUUUCGGCUAGGGGGUCAUCCCGACUUACCAACCCGAUGCAAACUACGAAUACCGAAGAAUGUUAUCACGGGAGACACACGGCGGGUGCUAACGUCCGUCGUGAAGAGGGAAACAACCCAGACCGCCAGCUAAGGUCCCAAAGUCAUGGUUAAGUGGGAAACGAUGUGGGAAGGCACAGACAGCCAGGAUGUUGGCUUAGAAGCAGCCAUCAUUUAAAGAAAGCGUAAUAGCUCACUGGUCGAGUCGGCCUGCGCGGAAGAUGUAACGGGGCUAAACCAUGCACCGAAGCUGCGGCAGCGACACGAUGUGUUGUUGGGUAGGGGAGCGUUCUGUAAGCCUGCGAAGGUGUGCUGUGAGGC